RNAcentral lists this ribosomal RNA (497 nucleotides) under uncultured bacterium. Its description in RNAcentral is "partial 16S ribosomal RNA". It matches the Rfam family "Bacterial small subunit ribosomal RNA", at positions 28 to 507 of the family's 1533-position model. The record is from RNAcentral.
GACGAACGCUGGCGGCGUGCCUAAUACAUGCAAGUAGAACGCUGAAGAGAGGAGCUUACUCUUCUUGGAUGAGUUGCGAACGGGUGAGUAACGCGUAGGUAACCUGCCUUGUAGCGGGGGAUAACUAUUGGAAACGAUAGCUAAUACCGCAUAACAAUGGAUGACACAUGUCAUUUAUUUGAAAGGGGCAAUUGCUCCACUACAAGAUGGACCUGCGUUGUAUUAGCUAGUAGGUGAGGUAAUGGCUCACCUAGGCGACGAUACAUAGCCGACCUGAGAGGGUGAUCGGCCACACUGGGACUGAGACACGGCCCAGACUCCUACGGGAGGCAGCAGGAGGGAAUCUUCGGCAAUGGGGGCAACCCUGACCGAGCAACGCCGCGUGAGUGAAGAAGGGUGUCGGAUCGUAAAGCUCUGUUGUAAGUCAAGAACGGGUGUGAGAGUGGAAAGUUCACACUGUGACGGUAGCUUACCAGAAAGGGACGGCUAACUACGUG